UUAAGUUCAGCGGGUAGUCCUACCUGAUUUGAGGUCAAGUUUGUCAGAAAUAAAUUUCUCCCUCCAAAGCGGCACAGCAGAGCACUGCAUAGGCAUAGAUAGUUAUCACACCCACAGUAGCUUUUCCACAUUGCCACUAAUACGUUUCAGAGGAGCAGACCUCAAUCAAGCCUGCAAACUCCAUAAUCCAAAUCCACACA
RNAcentral lists this unclassified non-coding RNA (200 nucleotides) under Inocybe sp. RNAcentral's name for it is "partial internal transcribed spacer 2". Lineage: Eukaryota; Fungi; Basidiomycota; Agaricomycetes; Agaricales; Inocybaceae. The record is from RNAcentral.